UACGUAGGGUGCAGGCGUUGUCCGGAAUUAUUGGGCGUAAAGAGCUCGUAGGCGGUCUGUCACGUCGGCUGUGAAAACCCGGGGCUCAACCCCGGGCCUGCAGUCGAUACGGGCAGACUAGAGUGCGGUAGGGGAGACUGGAAUUCCUGGUGUAGCGGUGAAAUGCGCAGAUAUCAGGAGGAACACCGGUGGCGAAGGCGGGUCUCUGGGCCGUAACUGACGCUGAGGAGCGAAAGCGUGGGGAGCGAACAGG
This 253-nucleotide ribosomal RNA is filed under the name uncultured bacterium. RNAcentral's name for it is "partial 16S ribosomal RNA". It matches the Rfam family "Bacterial small subunit ribosomal RNA", at positions 524 to 776 of the family's 1533-position model. The record is from RNAcentral.